GCAAAGCUGAAACUUAAAGGAAUUGACGGAAGGGCACCACCAGGAGUGGAGCCUGUGGCUUAAUUUGACUCAACACGGGAAACCUCACCCGGUCCGGACACUGGAAGGAUUGACAGACUAAAGCUCUUUCUUGAUUCAGUGGGUGGUGGUGCAUGGCCGUUCUUAGUUGGUGGAGUGAUUUGUCUGGUUAAUUCCGAUAACGAACGAGACUCUCGCCUGCUAAAUAGUUUUCCAUACGUUAGGUUAUGGAACGUAAACUUCUUAGAGGUACAAGUGGCGUUUAGCCACACGAAACAGAGCAAUAACAGGUCUGUGAUGCCCUUAGAUGUCCGGGGCCGCACAUGUGCUACAAUGAAUGCAUCAACGUGUAUCAGCCUCGCCCGAAAGGGUUGGGGAAUCCGCUGAACGGCAUUCUCAGUAGGGAUUGGGGAUUGCAAUUAUUUCCCAUGAACACGGAAUUCCCAGUAGGCGCCAGUCAUCAGCUGGCGUCGAUUGAGUCCCUGCCCUUUGUACACACCGCCCGUCGCUACUACCGAUCGCUCUUGUUAAUGAGCUUGUCAGAUUGGACCCGGUGAGCAGUCGUUGGUUUCAUCUCCUCGCGGGGUGUGCCUUCGUCUGCGAGCUUUUGGUGUAUGCCGAGAAGAUCGGCAAAUUAUCUGGAGUAGAGGAAGUAAAAGUCGUAACAAGGUAUCCGUAGGUGAACCUGCGGAUGNNNNNNNNNNAGAGAGAGAAAAACACCCGAGACAAACUCGUCUGUUUCCUCAAAGUCGGGGAACGGUCACGCAAGCCGACCUCAGAUCAG
Molecule: ribosomal RNA, 802 nt
Filed under: Tridacna derasa
Lineage: Eukaryota; Metazoa; Mollusca; Bivalvia; Cardiida; Cardiidae
Description: bacterial SSU rRNA
Rfam family: Eukaryotic small subunit ribosomal RNA (bases 1-720)
Source: RNAcentral